UCCGUAGGUGAACCUGCGGAGGGAUCAUUACAGAGUUACCCGACUCACCAAACCCAUGUGAACUUACCUAUGUUGCCUCGGCGGGGAAGCCUACCCGGUGCCUACCCUGUAGUUACCCGGGAGCGAGCUACGCUGUAGCCCGCUGCAGGCCAACCCGCCGGUGGACUGUUAAACUCUUGUUAUAGUGGAACUUCUGAUUUUUUAUACUUAAUAAGUUAAAACUUUCAACAACGGAUCUCUUGGUUCUGGCAUCGAUGAAGAACGCAGCGAAAUGCGAUAAGUAAUGUGAAUUGCAGAAUUCAGUGAAUCAUCGAAUCUUUGAACGCACAUUGCGCCCAUUAGUAUUCUAGUGGGCAUGCCUGUUCGAGCGUCAUUUCAACCCUCAAGCCCCAGUUGCUUGGUGUUGGGAGUUUACCUGCGGGUAAUUCCUGAAAAGCAUCGGCGGAGUCGUGCUGGCCCCAAGCGUAGUAAUUUUUCUCGCUUCCGGUGGUUCUAGCGCUGGCGUCCGGCCGCUAAACCCCCUAUUUUCUAGUGGUUGACCUCGGAUCAGGUAGGAAUACCCGCUGAACUUAAGCAUAUCAAUAAGCGGAGGA
This 593-nucleotide ribosomal RNA is filed under the name Eutypa sp. 1 KB-2015. RNAcentral describes it as "eukaryotic LSU rRNA". The stretch from base 220 to 373 matches the Rfam family "5.8S ribosomal RNA". Lineage: Eukaryota; Fungi; Ascomycota; Sordariomycetes; Xylariales; Diatrypaceae. RNAcentral also lists the same sequence under 1 other name. The record is from RNAcentral.